CUGAACUGGCCAAACCCCUCUGGGUGACAGGUGACAGCAAUAUGAAAAAAAAGGGAUUCUGAAAUGAACAUAGUGGAAUGAGAAAAUCCACGGAUUGCACAAAAUCACACCGAAGCCAUGAAUGGCUUCAACCAAAGGUAUCUACCAAAGGAACAGUUGCUCCUGAUGUUUGGAAUGUAAAUACAGACAUGUCUUGAGAUCUGGACAAGAGGUGCUCUCAAGAUGGUGUUCUCCUUCAGCAACAGGUGAGGGAGUUCUGAAUUGCUGAUGUAACUUGGCAAAGGCUGAGGGAGCCAGUGUUAAGACUGCUGUUGCAGAUAUAAUUAACUCCAGUGCCAACAGCUACACAGUUCCAUAUGGACCAUCCAGUGCCUACCGAGUUCUGUGUAUUUGGUGAAGAAUAUUAAUAUUAAAGUGUUCUGAUUUAGGGUCUGACUAUAUAAGUACUCCAAAUGCCUGAAAAAUUUCUAAGAAUGUGGCAUUUACAACAUAGCAAAGUAGAUGUUGGUGCUUUAAUUGCAAGUGUGGCAGAAAUGACCACAGUAAUGUGGCAAGGGAAGAAUAAUCAUAGUAAAAUGAAAAUCAUAAUCUUCUGACCUGGCACUGAUUUGCAGAAGUAUUGUGGCUCUUGUUCCUGGAUUCCUGGCAAAGAAUUCAGU
This is a long non-coding RNA of Neopsephotus bourkii (Bourke's parrot), 659 nucleotides long. RefSeq lists it as uncharacterized. The record is from RefSeq and is a predicted model, not a curated record. The transcript has 3 exons. NCBI's taxonomy places the organism in Eukaryota, Metazoa, Chordata, Aves, Psittaciformes, Psittacidae.